ACCUUGAGGUUUCUUCUGGCCUCGGCUUCCUCUCACAACAACAAGGGUUGGUUCCUCGAAGGGCAAGGAUGCAUCACUGUUCGUGAUUUUCCAUCUCGGCUGCCUCUCGGCCUUCCCUGCUUGGGUGGCUCUUAACCCACAACCAAGGAACCCAGUGUCCUCUGGAUCUGGUUCUGCAUGCACUCUCCCAGCUCCUGCUGGUACAUGUUUCCUGGGUCCUGACGCUCGUUUGCUGACAGGUCCUUCCUUCCUCGUCAGACCCUGAGCUUCUCCAGCUGCGUGACACUGAUGUCGUGGAGGAGCAGAGCUGGAGCAGAUCACUGGGGAAUCCGUGUCGUCAUACAGACAUCUCUGCGUCAUGUUCCAGCACAGAUAGAGCAUUUGCCUUCAACAGGGAGAAGAAGGACACCUCUUCGGGUCCAGAAGAUGUAGGGAAACCUGAGGUUCAAGAAUUUGAGUGUAUUGAUCAGAUGACCCUCCCUGAAGCCUCAGGGUCUCCCUUCUUCCCAACCAGGUCCUGACAUUGGGCAGCAGCCUCCCUUGGGUUGAGGGCUGCUGUCUUUAGGACUGAGUCUUGAUCCAUGGCUCUUUUUGGUUCUCUGGCUGCAGGAGAGGAGAGUGUCUAUAUGGCACCAAGGAAGCCCUCUUUUUGUCACUUUUUUUUAAAAUUGGAGAUCUUUUCAUUGCCUUGUUCUUGGCAAGAGCUGCCUGAUUCCGUAAUGCAGAUGGUUGCUGCUCUUCCCAGCCACUCCGAUGCCCUGGAUGCGGCACCCAGCAGUGUGUUUCUUUCAUUGGGCUUCCACCCUGGCUCAGUGCUACUACUGCCUGGCAGGGCUGUGGUGCCACCAGUGAUGUGCCACUUGGCAUUCUGUGCUCAACCCCACCAUACAGGCUGCUCCUGGAACACUUCUGGCCCCACCAUCUUCUGCUGGGCUCCCCUGGACACAAACUCUGAAGCAGAGGUUUGUGUGCAAGAGGUUAUUGGGAGUGUUCUCGGAAGAAAAGUCCUGUGAGCGUGGGAGGGAAGAAGGAUCGGGCAGAGGAGUAUCUUGACCACUGUGCAGGUCUGCGGGGCCUCGGCUGACCCUCUGGGAUGCUCAGCAGCUGGGGCUGCUGGUUAGUUGUCUUGAUGGAGGCAGAGCCUUGGUCUUGGGGACUGGGGGCAUCUGGAUGGCGCACGACAGCACACCCUACAGAAGCCUCUGAGGUCUCAGAGUUAGAGGCAGCAACGGUGGAGUUUGAGCCAAGGAAAAGCUGCUGUCCUAACUUGCAUGUUAAACUCGCAGUAAACACCAUGUAUGGAGGUCUUGACGGGAUGAAGUCAAGCAGGUGACGAGGACCUGGAAGGAGACUCAGGUAGCCACGGUGAAGAAUGCUUAGUAACCCUUUUCACGUGUACCUAAGCCUUUUUUUUAGGAAAUGAGGAUAAAACAGUGAAAAACCAGGCCUUGUCUUCAGGAAGCUUGUGUUCUGGUGUGUGCAGGGUGUGUGUGGGCUACCCAGAUGGGGGAGGGGGGAAGUCAGGGGAGACACA
This is a long non-coding RNA of Equus quagga, 1534 nucleotides long. RefSeq lists it as uncharacterized. The record is from RefSeq and is a predicted model, not a curated record. NCBI's taxonomy places the organism in Eukaryota, Metazoa, Chordata, Mammalia, Perissodactyla, Equidae. The transcript is spliced from 3 exons.